UGAGUAACACGUAUCCAACCUGCCGUCUACUCUUGGACAGCCUUCUGAAAGGAAGAUUAAUACAAGAUGGCAUCAUGAGUCCACAUGUUCACAUGAUUAAAGGUAUUCCGGUAGACGAUGGGGAUGCGUUCCAUUAGAUAGUGGGCGGGGUAACGGCCCACCUAGUCUUCGAUGGAUAGGGGUUCUGAGAGGAAGGUCCCCCACAUUGGAACUGAGACACGGUCCAA
Molecule: ribosomal RNA, 227 nt
Filed under: uncultured bacterium
Lineage: Bacteria
Description: partial 16S ribosomal RNA
Rfam family: Bacterial small subunit ribosomal RNA
Source: RNAcentral